GCCUGAUUAGCAUAGUGGCUAAUGCGUUGCACUUGUAUCAAAAAGCCCCUCUUUCUCGAGAGGGGCCGCUUCCGACGACAUGCAAAGAUCACAGGUUCGAUUCCUGUAUUAGGCA
Staphylotrichum longicolle is the source of this 115-nucleotide non-coding RNA. The record is from the annotation of a GenBank genome assembly. NCBI's taxonomy places the organism in Eukaryota, Fungi, Ascomycota, Sordariomycetes, Sordariales, Chaetomiaceae.